GUGUCAGCCGCCGCGGUAGUACGGAGGGGGCUAGCGUUGUUCGGAAUUACUGGGCGUAAAGCGCACGUAGGCGGACGGUCAAGUUGGGGGUGAAAGCCCGAGGCUCAACCUCGGAAUUGCCUUCAAAACUGAUCGUCUCGAGGCCGGGAGAGGGCAGUGGAAUUCCCAGUGUAGAGGUGAAAUUCGUAGAUAUUGGGAAGAACACCGGUGGCGAAGGCGGCUGCCUGGCCCGGACCUGACGCUGAGGUGCGAAAGCGUGGGGAGCGAACAGGAUUAGAUACCCUGGUAGUCCACGCCGUAAACGAUGGGUGCUAGGUGUCGGAGGACUUAGUUCUUCGGUGCCGCAGCUAACGCGUUAAGCACCCCGCCUGGGGAGUACGGCCGCAAGGCUAAAACUUAAAUGAAUUGGCGGGG
Molecule: ribosomal RNA, 414 nt
Filed under: uncultured prokaryote
Description: bacterial SSU rRNA
Rfam family: Bacterial small subunit ribosomal RNA
Source: RNAcentral